This 490-nucleotide ribosomal RNA is filed under the name uncultured bacterium. RNAcentral describes it as "partial 16S ribosomal RNA". It matches the Rfam family "Bacterial small subunit ribosomal RNA", at positions 28 to 507 of the family's 1533-position model. The record is from RNAcentral.
GAUGAGCGCUAGCUACAGGCUUAACACAUGCAAGUCGAGGGGCAGCAUGGUCUUAGCUUGCUAAGGCCGAUGGCGACCGGCGCACGGGUGAGUAACACGUAUCCAACCUGCCGUCUACUCUUGGACAGCCUUCUGAAAGGAAGAUUAAUACAAGAUGGCAUCAUGAGUCCGCAUGUUCACAUGAUUAAAGGUAUUCCGGUAGACGAUGGGGAUGCGUUCCAUUAGAUAGUAGGCGGGGUAACGGCCCACCUAGUCUUCGAUGGAUAGGGGUUCUGAGAGGAAGGUCCCCCACAUUGGAACUGAGACACGGUCCAAACUCCUACGGGAGGCAGCAGUGAGGAAUAUUGGUCAAUGGGCGAGAGCCUGAACCAGCCAAGUAGCGUGAAGGAUGACUGCCCUAUGGGUUGUAAACUUCUUUUAUAAAGGAAUAAAGUCGGGUAUGGAUACCCGUUUGCAUGUACUUUAUGAAUAAGGAUCGGCUAACUCCGUG